AUUUCUACUUCACUGCGCCUCCCUCCUACCCGCAGCGCCUCCCUCUCCUGCCCCAGCGCCGCCGCCGGCCAUACCCUGCCCUGAGCGCCGCCCUCUCCCCUGCCGGCCGCGCCGCCGCCCAGCUCCCCUGCGCCGCGCCCCGCCCCUCUCCCCUGCGCCACGCUCCUCUCCCCCGCGCCCCGCCCCUCUCCCGUGCGCCACGCUUCUCUCCCCCGUGCAGCAAAAGCCCCGCACCCAACCCCCAGCCCGGCGAGCGAUGGAGGGGUCCGCGGCCGACGCGGAGCAGGAGCAGAAGCGGGCGGCGGCGGCCAACGCGCUGCAUCAAAAAAAGAAAAAAAAAGAAAUCACCCAACACGCUCUUUCCCUUUUCUUUUCCUUCCAUCUCCCUCUCAGACCUAGCGAUUGCUGCAGAGGGAGAGGCGGCGGCUGCCGCGGCUUAGGCCACGCACCACGCGGAGGAGCGGGUGGGGCCAACAGAUCGUGGAUCCUCCUUGUGGCGUAGGUACGCCUGGUAAUGAGCUAUGACGAUCCCUGUUGGGAAUCCGGCACCAUCGGAGGCGCAACACCGUGUUCUUAAAGAACCUUUGCUAUGGAGAUCCGCAAGAACCAACUUCACCCGCCCGAGUGGAAUCUGUCAACGAGGGCAACGGAAUCAGAGUGGCCGACCUGAUGUGCAUCAUACCACAAGGAUCCCAACAAGUGCUGUUUAUUGUUUUGCUGAGCGUAAAGGAGUAAAAUCUGAUAAUGUUUCCGAAGGGAAUUGUUUUUGGCACUGCUGCUUCUGCAUAUCAGAUUGGUUCUUUGAUUUUUCCACACCUUCAUCUAGAGGUGUGGCCUUAUAUGACUUCUUAUUUAAGGGGGUUUCAUUUAUUGUUUCUUAGGUUCAGUCUUCAGUGAUAAAUCAGACAUGAAUUCACUCUGAUAGAACAUGAUCAAUUUUUGUUCGAAAAGAAAAAUCUUUUGUCCUCAACAUGCAAGGCUGCAAGGAAUCACUAGAAUCCGUUGUCAUUCUUGGUCACAUUCGUUGAUGCCCUUGCUGCUUUUCUGCAUUUACAUUUCCCUUCAAAUGCAGUGAUAAAAUUAAGGCAAAAGAGGAAUGUCUGUUGCCACAUUAGAAGCUUGUUUGUUGUCUUUUCUGCAUUUGACAUGGUGUGAUUUUAAUAUAGUAUGUCAAUGGAUAGAAUUAAUCUGCAUGAUUUGCACUAAUGGUUUUCAUGUCUAAUUGCUUUAGAAGUAGUCUUCCUACUUUCUGUACUCUACUAAGUAUAUUUAAUAUCACCUCACAGAAGCGUUCAAAUUCCACUUUAAUGGCAAGUAGAAAGUUCAAUUCUCGAGUCCUGAUAUGUGCAUUAAAAUUUGUUCCUUAACAUAAGCAGGGUCCUCUUGGUGCACCAACUCUCCAGUUGCUGACAAAAUUGGAUUUGAGCAAAAUGUAAUUCAGUGACUUCUAUUACUUUUAUUGUUUAUCUCUAUUAUUUUAGAAUCCCACACCUCAUGAUUCUUAUUCUUUCAAGUACAUUAAACCCUCAUCAACCAAUGUUUAUCAUACCGUUGUAGGCAGGAGUACUGUAUUUUCGUUUUCUUUUAUCUGUGAAAUUUCAGUGAAAGGCAGUAGAUGAGUAAUAGAAUUACGAAUAUCCAGUGCUAGGUGGCUGUCUUGGUUGCAUUGUCAAAUCUGCAACUCGAGCUAAGGGAGAUAUGGGGCUGCAGCGACAAAGGCAAGGCUGUUGCCUGUGCUUUGUCCAAUGUUACUCCUUUUAGUAAAUGUUUAGCUAGUACUCUCAGUUUUGUGGUUGUGCAAAGAGUUUGUUAUGUUGAUGCCAAAUAUUUGGAGAAGAUUUGGGUAGAUGGGUGCCAAAAGUCUACGCGCCUUGUGUACUUUGUUGUUAUGUUGAUGCGACACUAGGAUAUAUUUGUAUUUAGUGGAUUCAUGUUGGACUACUAAUAAUAUAUAUAAUCGUGUGUAUUAGGUCA
Long non-coding RNA from Sorghum bicolor (sorghum), 1974 nucleotides. RefSeq lists it as uncharacterized. The transcript is spliced from 2 exons. Lineage: Eukaryota; Viridiplantae; Streptophyta; Magnoliopsida; Poales; Poaceae. The record is from RefSeq and is a predicted model, not a curated record.